AGGAAUCUCUCAGCUAUAGGGUACAUUUGGGAAGAACAUACAAUUGAAGACCAUUUUCAAACUUCUAGAAGUCAUGGAAGCUUGCGUCCUGCCAUCUGAUCAUCUCAAGUAUUUGCUGCCCUCAAUAUAUCUGAUUGGAGCCUGUCGUUCCUACAAUCCCAGUUGAUUCAGAACUUAUAAGAGUCCAGCUUUCUCUGUGAUCCUUUGCUUGUGGGCUCCUGAGAAUCUGAAAUUCUGGGUGUGUCAGAGUUUUUGGCAGUCAAGCUUCCUCUGAGACCCUGAAAUACUGGUGUGAACAAGCUCUUUUUAUCCUAGGAUCCUGUUGUCAAAGAUCCUGGGCAUGUUACAGUGCCUGGAGGUGGUGUUUUCUUUGAGGAGUGUGGAGCUGUCUGGUCAGUGGUCCUAAGUUAGUGUGGACAGUCCUCUAGGGACCAUGGGUGUGUCCGCCAACUCUGCACACAAGGUGACCAAGUACUGGCGCCAAGAGGAAGGGACUUGUAACUCUGGUCAGGCAUGUUUUCUGCGUCCCUAAUGCUGUCUCAGGUUCCGUGUGCGAGAGGAUUGGAACAGAAGUUGUGUUCCACUAACCAAUGGUCCUAAGUACACGAGAAGAGUCCUCUAGGGACCUUAGGGAUGUCCGCCGACUCUGAGCCCAAAGUGACCCUGUGCUGGCACCGACUGGAAGGGACCAUCUGGUGUAAUUCUAAUAGCCCUGCCUCUAUAUGUUACUUGACCUUUGUCCCUUACUGCUUUCAAUAUUGUAUCUUUAUUUAGUUCAUUUGUUGUUCUGAUUAUUAUGUGUCAGGAGAUACUUUUCUGGUCCUGUUUAUUUGGAGUUCUAUAGGUCCCUUGUAUGUUCAUGGGCAUCUCUUUUUGGUUGGGGAAAUUUACCUCUAUAAUUUUGUUGAAGAUAUUUACUGGUGCUUUGAAUUGAAAUUCUCCAUUCUCAUUUAUACCUAUUAUCUGUAGGUUUGGUCUUCUCUUUGAGUCCCGGAUUUCCUGCAUGUUUUUGGUUAGGAUCAUUUUGCAUUUUCUUUGAUUGUUGUAUCCAUGUUCUCUAUGGAAUCUUCUGCACCUGGGUCUCUCCCGUCCAUCUCUUGUAUUGUUGCUGAUGCUUGUAUCUCUGGUUUCUUAUUUCUUUCCCAGUGUUUCUAUCUACAGAGUUGUCUCCCUUUGGGGUUUCUUUACCAUUUCUACUUCCAUUUUAAGAUCUUGGAUGGAUUUGUUCAAUUCUGUCACCUCUUUGGUUGUAUUUUCUUGUAAUUCUUUAUGGGAUUUUUGUCUUUCCUCUUUAAGGUCUUCUACCUGUGUAGCAGUGAUUUCCUAUAAUUCCUUGAGGGAUUCUUUGUGCUUCCUAUUUAAGUGCUUCUACCUGUUUAGCCGUGUUCUCCUGAAUUUCUUUAAGUGAGUUAUUAAUGCACUUCUGAACAUCCUAUACCAACAUCAUGAGAUAAGAUUUUAGAUUCGAAUCUUGCUUUUCAGGUGUGUUGGUGUAUUUGAGACUCGUUGUGGUGGGCGUACUGGGUUCUGAUGAUGCCCAGUGGUCUUGGUUUCUGUUAGGAAGAUACUUUCAUUUGCCUUUCGCCAUCUGGUAGUCUUUGGUGUUAGAUGUUCUAGCUGUCUCUGGUUGAAGCUUGUUCCUCCUGUGUUCUUUAACCCCUGUCAGCACUCCUGGGAGACUAAUUCUCUCCUGUGUCCCAGUGGUCAGAACACUCUCUGCAGGCAAGCUCUCCUCUUGCAGAGAAGGUGCACAGAAGUCUGGAGCUCCGAUCUACUUCCUGAUUCCUGAGGUCAGAGCCCUCCCCAGAGGCCAAUUCUCCUCUGGCAGUGAAGGUGUCCAGGAGUCUGGGUUCCAGCUCUGUCUUCUGGCUGAGGAUGAAGGCCUGAAGGGACCCUGUCCAAGAAGCUUGGUUGAUUCUGCUGCCCAUGUACUCUUCUGCAUAAACUGGUUUCAGUGAUCCCAAUAUUCUGGGUGUGCUAGGGCCUGCCUAUGUCCUUUGACCCUGUUUUUGCUAGCACAAGACCCUCUGGAUUUUUUGGAACUGAUGUUGUGUUCCACUCACCAGUGAUCUCAAGGAACUGGGUGUGCUAAUGUGCCAGCCUUGUGGGGAGUCCUCUGGGGACCUUAGGGCCCUCCACAGAGACCGCCUCAAACACUCUUAAACAAUUACUUCUGUCUCAUUUAUCCCUAAAAGCAAUUAAACAAAUCUCAUAGAUUUCUAUUCUUUUUUCUGAUUAUAGCUCUGGGCAGUUUCUACUAUCGACCUCUGUCUCUUCUUUCUGAGCUACCUCUCUGUCUGUACUGCACCUCCAAGCUCAAACUAUUUGAGACAGACAGAAAUCUUUGAGAAGGGCCCAUGGUAAAUCCAGACCAACAAGGAUGGCCGGAUCAACUUGGAGGAUUUUGGUGAGUCCCAGCAUAUUCCAAGAACCCAAGAAUUAUGCAAACCAAUUCAGCUCAACUUUUGUUUUAGUUGUGAACUUGUACAACUUGGUGAGGAACUAGAUGGCUCAGCAAAACCAGCAACUCCACUAAGAAUCCAAUUUUCCCCAUCCCUUAAUUUCACAACUUAGCAUUGGUUUUUCAUUCGAGAAUCUCCAGUAAGUUUUGAAUACUGCGUUUCAGCCUAUAGGUGUGAUGCCUUCUGUAAACUCAGUUGUUACUCUGCUCUACUAUAGGAUGCCACCUGUGUAAGUUCCUAGCUCAGCUUGCAAAUGCUUUGGAGUCUGAAAUGAAAGACAAACAGCUUUAUUUAAUAUGCCAAAUCAGUUCAUUAGAUGGGACACUCCCAAUCAUCCACAUUGCUAAUGGCUCCUCUAUGGCACUCCUGAAUUACUAAAAUCUAUAGCCCAUCUCUGCUUCCCCAGAACCAAUCAGAAGAGGGAACACUGGGACUACUCUUCCACAGCUCUUAUGUGGCUGGUAUUCUGUCUUUCCCAUCUCUCAAGCCAGCAUCCAAUUCCUUUACUGGCAUGGAGAUCCUCUUUGUUCCCCUUGUCAUGAAUCCAAAAAUCCUGCCUGUGUCUCCUCCCUAGCCAUUGGCUGCUGGCACUUUAGUUUCCCAGUUAUAAUCAGCCUGGGGCAGGGAAUCUCAGUGUCUCAAAUGCAAGAUUAUUAUGAAAUUUGGGAACAAUUUAACAUGAGUAGCAUGAGAACCAAUAAACAAUUGGGAAUAAACAGAAAAACAAGGCAAAUCCAAGCACCAGGCCCUAAGUAUUGCCUUUUGGUUAUUACCCUUCAUUUACUCAUAUGGUGAAACUACGUUCAAGUUUCCAGGCAUCAGGUAUUGUGGAGGUGCAACCUAACUUUACUCAUAUUUUGUUCUUGAAAACAUAAUGACUGUCUCUAAUAAAGCUUUCUGCUUUUCAUAGUGUGCUUCUCAAAACAUAACACCUGUUCUUUACCACCAAAGAACAAAUCCAAGUGAUUGUUUAAACUAUAAUACCUAUAUUCUAUAACAGUUGAUACAGUAAACUACAUAAGCCCCUGUCCUUAAAUCCUGAUUGGUGUGAAAAUGAAGCUGAAAGAAAGAUGAAAUUUCAAGACCUGUAAGUCAUAUAAAGUACUCAGAAAUUGCUGGUUGUUUGUAAGCUUAGAGGCUCCUGGGGCUGAGAACAAAGAAAAAAAAACCCGGGCAUUCCUGGGAACAGCUUGACCAAAAAGAUAAAGAGCAAUAUGAGGACAUAACAGGGCUAUCUGAACUGAGUCAACAACUCACAGAACCCUGACCUGCACAUAUUCUUUUGCUGAUGUUUGAAUAAGCCAAUAGUGUGUCACGAUGCUGAGUUCCCCACCCCUAAGCCCUUUACCCCAUAAAAACCCCUAGCUUUUGAGCCUCGGGGUCGAAUCCAGUGUCUCCUGUGUGAGAUUCGUUUUUGACAUGGAGCUCUGUCAUUAACCUACCUCAUGUGUUUACAGUAAGGAGGACUCUUGUGUUUCUUUGGGUGCACUCUCUCUCCCCAGACUAGAGCAGCAGUCCCUGAAAGGGGGUCUUACAAAGCUAUAAUUUUGAAGGAAUGUUUCUGCCUGUCCCUCCCUUUUUUUAAAUAUAUAUAAAUGUUUCUUUCUUUUAUUGUUUACUCUUUUUUUUAUACAAUCCACACCUUCUACCCCUUAUCUUAUUCAGAGUUUCUAUUCCUGCACAAACAUCAUGACCAAGAAACAAGUUGGGGAGGAAAGAAUUUAUUCAGCUUACACUUUCAUACUGCUGUUCAUCACAAUGGAAGUCAGGAAAGGAACUCAAGCAGGUCAGGAAGCAGGAGCUUAAGUAGAGGCCAUGGAGGGAUGUUUCUUUACUGGCUUGCUUCCCCUGGCUUGCUCAGCCUCCUCUCUUAUAGAACCCAAGUCUACCAGCCCAGAGAUGGUCCCACCCACAAGCAGCCUUUCCCCCUUGAUCACUAAUUGAGAAAAUGGCUGUCCUCCAAAAAAGGAAAGAGCCUGGUGUGGGGGCACACACCUUUAAUCCCAGCACUCAGGAAGCAGAGGCAGGUGGAUUUCUGAGUUUGAGGUAAGCCUGGACUACAAAGUGAGUUCCAGGAUAGCCAGGGCUACACAGAGAAACCCUGUCUCAAAAAAAAACAAAGGGGGGGGGGGCGGAGAGAGAAAAUGCCUUACAGCUGGAUCACAUGGAAGCAUUUCCCCAACUGAAGCUCCUUUCUUUGUGAUAACUCCAGCUUGUGUCAAGUUGACACCAAACUUGUCAGUACAAUUGACCCCUUGUCAACUUGACACACAAAUACAUCACUAGUAAGCCUCAACCCUUAGUUUCUUAUUCAUCCCCAAGAUCUAAACAACUUUAAAUGUCCCUGUCUUAGUUAGGGUUUUACUCCUGUUAACAGAUACCAUGACCAAGGCAAGUCUUAUAAAAAACAUUUAAUUGGGGCUGGCUUACAGGUUCAGAGGUUCAGUUCAUUUUCAAGGUGGGAGCAUGGCAGUAUCCAGGCAGGCAUGGCACAGGAGGAGCUGAGAGUUCUAUGCCUUCAUCCAAAGACUGCUAGUGGAAGACUGACAUCCAGGCAACUAGGGUGAGGAUCUUAUACCCACACCCACAGUGACACACCCAUUCCAACCAGGUCACACCUAUUGCAACAAGGCCACACCUUCAGAUGGUGCCACUCCCUGGUCCAAGGAUAUACAAACCAUCACAGUCCCAUAGUCUUUACAUAUUAAAAGUUCAAUCCUUUUAAAAUAUUCAAUAUCCUUUAAAUUCCAAACUGUUUUACAAACUCUUAACUGUGGAAUCCACUAAAAUAUUUUUUUCCUUCAAAGGGAAAAAAUAUGAGGGCACAGUCACAAUCAAAAGAAAAAUUA
This is a long non-coding RNA of Mus musculus (house mouse), 5311 nucleotides long. RefSeq annotates it as predicted gene 14402. Lineage: Eukaryota; Metazoa; Chordata; Mammalia; Rodentia; Muridae. The transcript is spliced from 3 exons. The record is from RefSeq and is a predicted model, not a curated record.